RNAcentral lists this ribosomal RNA (490 nucleotides) under uncultured bacterium. Its description in RNAcentral is "partial 16S ribosomal RNA". It matches the Rfam family "Bacterial small subunit ribosomal RNA", at positions 28 to 506 of the family's 1533-position model. The record is from RNAcentral.
GAUGAACGCUGGCUACAGGCUUAACACAUGCAAGUCGAGGGGAAACGACGGGGAAGCUUGCUUCCCCGGGCGUCGACCGGCGCACGGGUGAGUAACGCGUAUCCAUCCUGCCUCUGACUGAGGGAUAACCCGUCGAAAGUCGGCCUAAUACCUCAUGGUAUCGUCUGCGGGCAUCCAACGACGAUUAAAGAUUUCAUCGGUCAGGGAUGGGGAUGCGUCUGAUUAGCUUGUUGGCGGGGUAACGGCCCACCAAGGCUACGAUCAGUAGGGGUUCUGAGAGGAAGGUCCCCCACAUUGGAACUGAGACACGGUCCAAACUCCUACGGGAGGCAGCAGUGAGGAAUAUUGGUCAAUGGGCGAGAGCCUGAACCAGCCAAGUAGCGUGCAGGAAGACGGCCCUAUGGGGUGGAAACUGCUUUUAUGCGGGGAUAAAGUGAGGGACGUGUCCCUCAUUGCAGGUACCGCAUGAAUAAGGACCGGCUAAUUCCGU